CUUCGGGUCGUAAAGCUCUGUUGUUAGGGAAGAACAAGUAUCGGAGUAACUGCCGGUACCUUGACGGUACCUAACCAGAAAGCCACGGCUAACUACGUGCCAGCAGCCGCGGUAAUACGUAGGUGGCAAGCGUUGUCCGGAAUUAUUGGGCGUAAAGCGCGCGCAGGCGGUCCUUUAAGUCUGAUGUGAAAGCCCACGGCUCAACCGUGGAGGGUCAUUGGAAACUGGGGGACUUGAGUACAGAAGAGGAAAGCGGAAUUCCACGUGUAGCGGUGAAAUGCGUAGAGAUGUGGAGGAACACCAGUGGCGAAGGCGGCUUUCUGGUCUGUAACUGACGCUGAGGCGCAAAAGCGUGGGGAGCAAACAGGAUUAGAUACCC
Molecule: ribosomal RNA, 379 nt
Filed under: uncultured bacterium
Lineage: Bacteria
Description: bacterial SSU rRNA
Rfam family: Bacterial small subunit ribosomal RNA
Source: RNAcentral